This 570-nucleotide ribosomal RNA is filed under the name uncultured bacterium. RNAcentral's name for it is "partial 16S ribosomal RNA". It matches the Rfam family "Bacterial small subunit ribosomal RNA", at positions 355 to 914 of the family's 1533-position model. The record is from RNAcentral.
UGGGGAAUUUUGGACAAUGGGGGAAACCCUGAUCCAGCCAUCCCGCGUGUGCGAUGAAGGCCUUCGGGUUGUAAAGCACUUUUGGCAGGAAAGAAACGUCGCGGGUUAAUACCCCGCGAAACUGACGGUACCUGCAGAAUAAGCACCGGCUAACUACGUGCCAGCAGCCGCGGUAAUACGUAGGGUGCAAGCGUUAAUCGGAAUUACUGGGCGUAAAGCGUGCGCAGGCGGUUCGGAAAGAAAGAUGUGAAAUCCCAGAGCUUAACUUUGGAACUGCAUUUUUUAACUACCGGGCUAGAGUGUGUCAGAGGGAGGUGGAAUUCCGCGUGUAGCAGUGAAAUGCGUAGAUAUGCGGAGGAACACCGAUGGCGAAGGCAGCCUCCUGGGAUAACACUGACGCUCAUGCACGAAAGCGUGGGGAGCAAACAGGAUUAGAUACCCUGGUAGUCCACGCCCUAAACGAUGUCAACUAGCUGUUGGGGGCCUUCGGGCCUUGGUAGCGCAGCUAACGCGUGAAGUUUGACCGCCUGGGGGAGUACGGUCGCAAGAUUAAAACUUAAAUGAAUUGAC